AGGGAUAUGCUGGAAUUUGGUAGUCAGGUGCCCCUUAGGAGGGUAUGGUUUUACUGUAAGGGUUCAAGUCCCUUUAUCCCUA
Serendipita vermifera MAFF 305830 is the source of this 82-nucleotide non-coding RNA. NCBI's taxonomy places the organism in Eukaryota, Fungi, Basidiomycota, Agaricomycetes, Sebacinales, Serendipitaceae. The record is from Rfam.